This 384-nucleotide ribosomal RNA is filed under the name uncultured bacterium. RNAcentral's name for it is "bacterial SSU rRNA". It matches the Rfam family "Bacterial small subunit ribosomal RNA", at positions 29 to 412 of the family's 1533-position model. The record is from RNAcentral.
AUUGAACGCUGGCGGAAUGCUUUACACAUGCAAGUCGAGCGGCAGCGCGGGGGCAACCCUGGCGGCGAGCGGCGAACGGGUGAGUAAUACAUCGGAACGUGUCCUUAAGUGGGGGAUAGCUCGGCGAAAGCCGGAUUAAUACCGCAUAAGCUCUGAGGAGGAAAGCGGGGGCUCCGUAAGGACCUCGCGCUGUUGGAGCGGCCGAUGUCGGAUUAGCUAGUUGGUGGGGUAAAGGCCCACCAAGGCGACGAUCCGUAGCUGGUCUGAGAGGAUGAUCAGCCACACUGGAACUGAGACACGGUCCAGACUCCUACGGGAGGCAGCAGUGGGGAAUUUUGGACAAUGGGGGCAACCCUGAUCCAGCCAUUCCGCGUGAGUGAAGAA